CCUACGGGGGACAGCAGUGGGGAAUAUUGCACAAUGGGGGGAACCCUGAUGCAGCGACGCCGCGUGAGUGAUGAAGUAUUUCGGUAUGUAAAGCUCUAUCAGCAGGGGAGAAAAUGACGGUACCUGACUUAGUAGCCCUGGAGAACUACGUGCAAGCAGCCGCGGUAAUACGGAGGGGGCAGGCGUUAUCCGGAUUUACUGGGUGUAAAGGGAGCGUAGGCGGCUGAGCAAGUCUGAAGUGAAAGCCCGCGGCCCAACUGCGGGACUGCUUUGGAAACUGCCCGGCUAGAGUGCUGGUGAGGCAAGUGGAAUUCCUAGUGUAGCGGUGAAAUGCGUAGAUAUUAGGAGGAACACCAGUGGCGAAGGCAGCUUACUGGACAGUAACUGACGUUGAGGCUCGAAAGCGUGGGGAGCAAACAGGAUUAGAUACCCGAGUAGUC
Molecule: ribosomal RNA, 440 nt
Filed under: uncultured bacterium
Lineage: Bacteria
Description: partial 16S ribosomal RNA
Rfam family: Bacterial small subunit ribosomal RNA
Source: RNAcentral